RNAcentral lists this ribosomal RNA (237 nucleotides) under uncultured bacterium. Its description in RNAcentral is "partial 16S ribosomal RNA". It matches the Rfam family "Bacterial small subunit ribosomal RNA", at positions 120 to 353 of the family's 1533-position model. The record is from RNAcentral.
AGUAACCUGCCUUGGAGUGGGGAAGUAACAGUCGGAAACGACUGCUAAUACCGCAUGAUGCAUUUGGGCUGCAUGGCUCUGAAUGCCAAAGAUUUAUCGCUCUGAGAUGGACUCGCGUCUGAUUAGCUAGUUGGUGAGGUAACGGCUCACCAAGGCGACGAUCCAUAGCCGGCCUGAGAGGGUGAACGGCCACAUUGGGACUGAGACACGGCCCAGACUCCUACGGGAGGCAGCAUG